Molecule: ribosomal RNA, 236 nt
Filed under: uncultured bacterium
Lineage: Bacteria
Description: partial 16S ribosomal RNA
Rfam family: Bacterial small subunit ribosomal RNA
Source: RNAcentral
GAUCCUGGCUCAGGAUGAACGCUAGCGGCAGGCUUAACACAUGCAAGUCGAGGGGCAGCAUAAUGGAUAGCAAUAUCUAUGGUGGCGACCGGCGCACGGGUGCGUAACGCGUAUGCAACCUACCUUUAACAGGGGGAUAACACUGNGAAAUUGGUACUAAUACCCCAUAAUAUCAUAGAAGGCAUCUUUUAUGGUUGAAAAUUCCGAUGGUUAGAGAUGGGCAUGCGUUGUAUUAG